ACACUCCUGCGGGAGGCAGCAGUGGGGAAUAUUGGACAAUGGGCGCAAGCCUGAUCCAGCCAUGCCGCGUGAGUGAUGAAGGCCCUAGGGUUGUAAAGCUCUUUCACCGGAGAAGAUAAUGACGGUAUCCGGAGAAGAAGCCCCGGCUAACUUCGUGCCAGCAGCCGCGGUAAUACGAAGGGGGCUAGCGUUGUUCGGAAUUACUGGGCGUAAAGCGCACGUAGGCGGAUCGAUCAGUCAGGGGUGAAAUCCCAGGGCUCAACCCUGGAACUGCCUUUGAUACUGUCGAUCUGGAGUAUGGAAGAGGUGAGUGGAAUUCCGAGUGUAGAGGUGAAAUUCGUAGAUAUUCGGAGGAACACCAGUGGCGAAGGCGGCUCACUGGUCCAUUACUGACGCUGAGGUGCGAAAGCGUGGGGAGCAAACAGGAUUAGAUACCCCUGUAGUCCCA
This 448-nucleotide ribosomal RNA is filed under the name uncultured organism. RNAcentral's name for it is "partial 16S ribosomal RNA". It matches the Rfam family "Bacterial small subunit ribosomal RNA", at positions 333 to 797 of the family's 1533-position model. The record is from RNAcentral.